Molecule: transfer RNA, 72 nt
Filed under: Cavia porcellus (domestic guinea pig)
Lineage: Eukaryota; Metazoa; Chordata; Mammalia; Rodentia; Caviidae
Rfam family: tRNA
About the family: Transfer RNA (tRNA) molecules are approximately 80 nucleotides in length. Their secondary structure includes four short double-helical elements and three loops (D, anti-codon, and T loops).
Source: Rfam by way of RNAcentral
UGGGGUGUGGCUCAGUUGCAGAGCCUUUGCCUGGCAUGUGCAAGGCCCUGGGUUCAAUCCCCAGCACUGCAA